CGAUGCCUAAGACAUGCAAGUCGAACGAGAAGGCCCAUUGAAGAUGGAGUGCUGCACAAGUUGGAUUGGAUCCUCUAGUGGCGCAAGGGUGAGUAACACGUGGGUAAUCUACCUUCGAGUCUGGAAUAACAGUUAGAAAUGAUUGCUAAUGCCGGAUGAUAUUGAGAACGAUACGUCAUUCUUUAUUAAAAGGGGCCUUUAAAGCCUCGCUUGAAGAUGAGCCUGCGCCGUAUUAGCUAGUUGGUGGGGUAAUGGCCUACCAAGGCAACGAUGCGUAGCCGACCUGAGAGGGUGAUCGGCCACACUGGGACUGAGACACGGCCCAGACUCCUACGGGAGACAGCAGUUAGGAAUAUUCGUCAAUGGGGGAAACCCUGAACGAGCAAUGCCGCGUGAAGGAUGACGGUCCUAUGGAUUGUAAACUUCUGUUGUUAGGGAAGAAAGACCUGUAUAGGAAAUGAUACAGGAGUGACGGUACCUUUCAAGAAAGCUCCGGCUAACUACGUGCCAGCAGCGGC
RNAcentral lists this ribosomal RNA (518 nucleotides) under uncultured bacterium. RNAcentral's name for it is "bacterial SSU rRNA". It matches the Rfam family "Bacterial small subunit ribosomal RNA", at positions 43 to 518 of the family's 1533-position model. The record is from RNAcentral.